GGAGGCGUGGCAGAGUGGUCGAAUGCAGCGGUCUUAAAAACCGUAGGGCACUAUUUCACGGGUCCCGAGGGUUCGAAUCCCUCCGCCUCCGCCA
Molecule: transfer RNA, 94 nt
Filed under: Paracoccaceae bacterium
Lineage: Bacteria; Pseudomonadati; Pseudomonadota; Alphaproteobacteria; Rhodobacterales; Paracoccaceae
Description: Rhodobacteraceae bacterium tRNA-Leu
Rfam family: tRNA
About the family: Transfer RNA (tRNA) molecules are approximately 80 nucleotides in length. Their secondary structure includes four short double-helical elements and three loops (D, anti-codon, and T loops).
Source: RNAcentral